Molecule: transfer RNA, 71 nt
Filed under: Loxodonta africana (African savanna elephant)
Lineage: Eukaryota; Metazoa; Chordata; Mammalia; Proboscidea; Elephantidae
Rfam family: tRNA
About the family: Transfer RNA (tRNA) molecules are approximately 80 nucleotides in length.
Source: Rfam by way of RNAcentral
GCAUUGGUGGUUCAGUAAUAGAAUUCUUACCUUCCAUGCAAGAGACCCCGGUUUGAUUCCUGGUCAAGGCA